UUAAGCAUUUCAAUAAGCGGAGGAAAAGAAACCAACAGGGAUUCCCCUAGUAACGGCGAGUGAAGCGGCAACAGCUCAAAUUUGAAAUCUGGCUCUUUUAGAGUCCGAGUUGUAAUUUGCAGAGGGCGCUUUGGCGUUGGCAGCGGUCCAAGUUCUUUGGAACAGGACGUCACAGAGGGUGAGAAUCCCGUACGUGGUCGCUAGCCUUCGCCGUGUAAAGCCCCUUCGACGAGUCGAGUUGUUUGGGAAUGCAGCUCUAAAUGGGAGGUAAAUUUCUUCUAAAGCUAAAUACUGCCCAGAGACCGAUAGCGCACAAGUAGAGUGAUCGAAAGAUGAAAAGCACUUUGGAAAGAGAGUCAAAUAGCACGUGAAAUUGUUGAAAGGGAAGCGCUUGCAGCCAGACUUGCCUGUAGUUGCUUAUCCGGACUUUUGUCCGGUGCACUCUUCUGCGGGCAGGCCAGCAUCAGUUUAGGCGGUUGGAUAAAGGUCUCUAUCACGUACCUCCCUUCGGGGUUGGCCUUAUAGGGGAGACGACAUGCAACCAGCCUGAACUGAGGUCCGCGCAUCUGCUAGGAUGCGGGCGUAAUGGCUGUAAGCGGCCCGUCUUGAAACACGGACCAAGGAGUCUAACAUCUAUGCGAGUGUUUGGGUGUCAAGCCCAGACGCGUAAUGAAAGUGAACGGAGGUGGGAACCUUUUAGGUGCACCAUCGACCGAUCCUGAUGUCUUCGGAUGGAUUUGAGUAAGAGCAUGGCUGUUGGGACCCGAAAGAUGGUGAACUAUGCUUGAAUAGGGUGAAGCCAGAGGAAACUCUGGUGGAGGCUCGCAGCGGUUCUGACGUGCAAAUCGAUCGUCAAAUUUGGGCAUAGGGGCG
Molecule: ribosomal RNA, 873 nt
Filed under: Phaeosphaeria epicalamia
Lineage: Eukaryota; Fungi; Ascomycota; Dothideomycetes; Pleosporales; Phaeosphaeriaceae
Description: LSU rRNA
Rfam family: Eukaryotic large subunit ribosomal RNA
Source: RNAcentral